Molecule: ribosomal RNA, 451 nt
Filed under: uncultured bacterium
Lineage: Bacteria
Description: partial 16S ribosomal RNA
Rfam family: Bacterial small subunit ribosomal RNA
Source: RNAcentral
GUGGGGAAUAUUGGACAAUGGGGGGAACCCUGAUCCAGCCAUGCCGCGUGUGUGAAGAAGGCCUUUUGGUUGUAAAGCACUUUAAGCGAGGAGGAGGCUACCGAGAUUAAUACUCUUGGAUAGUGGACGUUACUCGCAGAAUAAGCACCGGCUAACUCUGUGCCAGCAGCCGCGGUAAUACAGAGGGUGCAAGCGUUAAUCGGAUUUACUGGGCGUAAAGCGCGCGUAGGUGGCCAAUUAAGUCAAAUGUGAAAUCCCCGAGCUUAACUUGGGAAUUGCAUUCGAUACUGGUUGGCUAGAGUAUGGGAGAGGAUGGUAGAAUUCCAGGUGUAGGCGUGAAAUGCGUAGAGAUCUGGGAGAAUACCGAUGGCGAAGGCAGCCAUCUGGCCUAAUACUGACACUGAGGUGCGAAAGCAUGGGGAGCAAACAGGAUUAGAAACCCUUGUAGUCC